GGCGUUGGAUCAGAUCAUCGCGGCCGCAAAUUAAUGAGAGACAAUAAGAUAUUUAGGGUUUGCUUUGAAGAGAGAGAGAAGAGAGAAGAGAGGAGAGAGGUGGUUUUGGUAUCGUAUUGGUUGUUUGUCCGAUUGGGGAUGAGGUUUGAGAAAAUUUCAAUGUCUUUUCCUUUUUUAGAAUGACCCAAGAUAUUGCAAAUUUCAUUCUCAAAAUACUUAAAAACCUUUGGCAGCUUGAAUCAUUUUGCAGUUUCAAAAGAGAAUAAGGGGUCAUGAAUAUGAUGCACCCAAUGAAGAAUUAAGGUGAACAUCUUUACAAUAACAGUGAAGCAGUAACAAUUAAAAUAUUCCAAAUAGCUUAAGAAACCACACUUGUUUUCUAUGUCACCUAACAUAACUCAUAAACUACUAAAUUUAAAUGAGAGUUACCCAAAGGCACAAUGAAGACCAGGGAGUUACAGAAAAUAGUUUACAAUUGUCGGAAAACUGAGAUGCAAGAACAAGACAGAAAGCUGAGUCUCGUAUCUUAUUCAGUGAAUACCUUUUUACAACAGCUUAACUGUCUAUUAUAUGCUUUUUCAGUGAAUACCUUUGUAAUACUCCUACAAAGAACCCAAAAACAACUCCAGCGAAUGUCGUAACUAUUAGCAAGUUUUUGUAAAUACGCUCUAGAAAAUAUCAACCACAGUAACAAUGUUUUUCCUCUUUCUUCCAAAGCACUGAUUAUUCUUUUGGCUAAAACAAACACUAUCAACAACUUUGCUUAAAAAAGCUACUCAAUUUUUAAUUUCUAGUACAAUUAUAAUUCUUGAGAUAAAUUUCAAAUACUUGGAUAAUAUCAAUUAUUUUUGGGUAUCAUUGAAUAGAAAAGAGUGUUAAACAUAUGUGCAAAAGGAAGAGACAGGUGUUUAAAGACGUGAAAUAAAGAGGACAAAAAGUUGGGAAUUAGGAUUGCAUGCACAUUGAAGAAACUAACAGAAUCAUAGAGGCACUAAAAACAGAAAGCCAAAGAGUAAAAAAUAAAAAUUUAUUCCAUAUAAAAAUCCAAAGCCAAAUCAAGUUAAUAAGUUCCUGCAAUAACUACAUAUAUCGAAUAUAGAAUACAAGAAUAAUAAGACACAAAACAAAUCAACGAGCUUACUUAUAAUAUGAGCUCCAGGUAUAAACAGAGACAUUACAUUACCUUACAAAUGUUGGUUGCCGUACUCUAAUUCCUUGCAGUUUUGGGGCCAAAUAACAACGUUAAUCUCUGGACAUGUUGCAUAGAUAACAUGACAAUUACAAUCCACUUAUGAAAGUGUUAAUUAAAAACCUUUUCAUGUAGUCACUUUAUCAAAGAUGUAGGUUCAACCUACAAAACUUAAAAAUUAAAAUGAAAGAUUCAACAGAAUAUGCCACAAAAUAAAAACUAAGGCAAUUCUUUUUCUUUAAUGCAUUCCAUCAAACACCUAGUGGGCUUCGUUAGAAACUAUUUCGUCUAAUUUUUUUUCAGUCCAGAAAAUACCAAAUUAGCCCCAAAAAAGAAAAGACUGCUGAAUAAUAUCAUCAAAAUGCAAAGUUCAUACGUUCAAGAUGCAUUCGGCAUAGACAUAAGCACUUGAAUGUACAUGAACAUUUAAUAGCUUGAGCUUUAGCAUGUCAGUAGAGAUAAUUUGAGAAACAACCAUGAAUCCAGCCCAAAAAUCAGAAAAAAAAGGAAAAAAUUGACAAAAUUUAGAAGACCUAACAACUUAAUCAAUUUAAAAUCUAUUUGCAAUCUCACGUAUUUCUCUGAGAAUCUAAAUUCAAAUCCACCAAAAUGGAAAUCGGUAGCAUAAUCUCAAAACAAAAAUCAACAUAUAUGAAAAUGAAUUUACUCGAUCUUCUAUUUUGAAAAGCAAUGCAAGUCCUAUGAACGGAAAAUUUACCUCAGAGCAGCGGCGGCUUGGCCUGGCUUUGAACACUAUUUGAACACUAUUUGAACGGAAAAUUUGCGCGUGCAUCGUCGUCGUAGUCGUCGUCAGUGUUCUAACGACAGCAAGAACACUAUUUGAACAACGGCAAAGAUGCGGGAUUGAUUUCUAGGGUUUGGCAAGCGUGUUGUUUCACAGUGUUAGUUGAUGAGUGGCAUGCGUUAUGUGGUGAGCAAUAAGUGAUUAAGUGAGUUCGGUGACAUGAGAAAUUUUU
RNAcentral lists this long non-coding RNA (2166 nucleotides) under Citrus sinensis (sweet orange). RNAcentral's name for it is "long non-coding RNA (CSIN_LNC000193)". Lineage: Eukaryota; Viridiplantae; Streptophyta; Magnoliopsida; Sapindales; Rutaceae. The record is from RNAcentral.